RNAcentral lists this long non-coding RNA (959 nucleotides) under Mus musculus (house mouse). Its description in RNAcentral is "RIKEN cDNA 2610027K06 gene". Lineage: Eukaryota; Metazoa; Chordata; Mammalia; Rodentia; Muridae. The record is from RNAcentral.
ACUCCCGGUCACCGCCCCGGGUCCAUGCACUUCAGAGGGAGGCUGCGGGCACUGGAAAGCGAGGCCGGUGGGCGGGCAAAUCAGGAGGCUCGGGCGGCCGAGGUCCCGGAGCCGAAUCAGGUGUCCGGAGCCGGUACUGGUGUCUGCAGCAGACAGGUGCCAACUGAGAAUGGAAGAGGGGACACUAUGAACUGCUCAGCUCAGCUCAGGGGCAGGGAACCACUGUGCAGGCCCAAGCGAACAAGAGCAGGGCUAGAUGGCCCUCAAGCUGGCACAUUAUGGAAAGGAUGAUGCAGAGGUGACAGAUCCCACAACGUCUCGGCUUGGUGACUCGGCCAUGGCAUCUGCAAGCCGUUCCCGGAGGCCCUCCUCUGAGUGCUCCAUGGAGGACAUAUGCCGCAGCCCGAAGCCCUCAGGCCAGCUCCCACACACCUCCAGCAGGGUCACGCUCCGGUCAAAGGCUGGCUCCCAAAGAAACUCCAUUCACCCGCCACACAACGUAGAAGAUGGUGUUCCACGAGUUAACGGAAUUGGACAGCCCAUCAUCAAGUGACACACAGCCAUUAUCCCAGGGCAACGCAUCACGGACAGGUCUGUGGGAUGUCGGUAAAAGCACAGCCCCCCUAGCCCCCAGCCCCAUGCUUUCAGUCACCCAGAAGCAUGAUUCGAGCAGGGCUCAUGCCUGUAGCUCCAGCACUCAGGAGGCUGAAGUAAGAGGGCUGCCAUGACUUCCUGGACAGCCUAGGCUACAGAACAAAGCCUGUCUAAGUAUAUUAUAUGCAUGUACUGCAAUGUCCUUCUAUAACCCAGUACCAUGUACAAUGAAGAUACUUCAAGGAAGGACAACUGUUAAUUGUGUGCAGUAUACUUGGUAGUGAUAAUGAGCAGCUGUUAUUAGUUUAUAUAUCAUUGCUACUUUAGAGAGCAUACUUCUAUUUAUUAAAAAGAAGUUGACUAUA